This 533-nucleotide ribosomal RNA is filed under the name uncultured bacterium. RNAcentral describes it as "bacterial SSU rRNA". It matches the Rfam family "Bacterial small subunit ribosomal RNA", at positions 338 to 844 of the family's 1533-position model. The record is from RNAcentral.
CCUACGGGAGGCAGCAGUGGGGAAUUUUGGACAAUGGGCGCAAGCCUGAUCCAGCAAUGCCGCGUGCAGGAUGAAGGCCUUCGGGUUGUAAACUGCUUUUGUACGGAACGAAACGGUCUGCUCUAAUACAGUGGGCUAAUGACGGUACCGUAAGAAUAAGCACCGGCUAACUACGCGCCAGCAGCCGCGGUAAUACGUAGGGUGCGAGCGUUAAUCGGAAUUACUGGGCGUAAAGCGUGCGCAGGCGGUUAUAUAAGACAGAUGUGAAAUCCCCGGGCUCAACCUGGGACCUGCAUUUGUGACUGUAUAGCUAGAGUGCGGCAGAGGGGGAUGGAAUUCCGCGUGUAGCAGUGAAAUGCGUAGAUAUGCGGAGGAACACCGAUGGCGAAGGCAAUCCCCUGGGCCUGCACUGACACUCAUGCACGAAACGACGGUGGGGAGGACGAAACGAAGGAGUUAGUACUACCCGUACGGUACGUACCGACCGACCCGUAAACCGUAACUGUCAACUGGUUGGUUGGGUUCGUUCUACU